This 1249-nucleotide long non-coding RNA is filed under the name Betta splendens (Siamese fighting fish). Its description in RNAcentral is "lncRNA (ENSBSLG00000015755.1)". The record is from RNAcentral. Lineage: Eukaryota; Metazoa; Chordata; Actinopteri; Anabantiformes; Osphronemidae.
UGUGAUGAUACAAGCUUGUGGAAAAGGACAGCGAGGUUAACGUGAAGCAGUGUGGAAUGAAUCUUCUCCCACUUUUUUUCUUGGGUAUUGGAUUUGGAUAGGAAGUUUUGCUCAUUUCUAUUCUGCUGACGGUGCAAUGAUCAUUUUGCCAUUAAAGCUCUCUGCACAUGGGUGCAGCUUCCUAGAGGGAUUCAAGGAUGGCAACAAACGAGCAGCACUACAACACCGCCACCAGUCUAUCACAGCUGUUUCCUUCCCACAGCUGUGUCCAGACCCUCCGUGUAUCUCCUGCCUGAGAUUUAGGCUUUAACAUUCCCUUGCACUUCACAUCCCCUCCUCUCCUACAUUGCACAGCGAAGCGAUUAGCUGUGUUUGGCUUUGCAGUGUGGGUUGGACUUUGCGUUUAGCUUUAGAAACUCAGUGCGAAACACCCAAGCAGAUGCUCUAGUUCAGGGCUAUAGAGCCGCAGGCAAAUGUUAAAUUAAAUAUCGGAUUGGAUAUAGUACUGUACUGAACACUUGCUUAAAUAAUUCUUCAUAGACGAAAAAGGGCCAUUUUGUUUGGUGGUUGUGAAAAUGUCUUUCAGAUGAUAAGGGUUUCAGCAUCACUGGCCUUAUCCCAAGUGGAGAACAAAGGUCAGAGGUCAUUGUGAUACUUCCCAUUAGUCUUUAGGCACGUUGCUUAUGCUUUCCUGCAGCUCUUCAUGUAAGAUUGGCUCCGACGGGUAUUGAUAAGGCUUAAGUUCGUAUUGUAGAGGUGUGUCUGUGCCUUUGAAGAGCAGAAUGCCUUUGAGUCUCCUCUAGUGAAGUGCAGAUCACAGUGGGAGUGAGGCUGGCAGGAGAGAAGAGAGGGACUGGCUAUUGUCAUUGUUGUAGGCUCAGGGUGGAUUUGCCUUGUUUUCUGUCAGGACAUCGCUGAUUACACAUUUUAGGGGGUAUGUUUGUUAGAUAUUUUAGAAGAAAGGGCCACAGCUGACGCCCUCAGCAUCCACUCAUACGCUUCUCAUUUCUCCUUUGCACAGUCAGGCAUGUGAUGCUUUGUCAUGAUAAAACGUAAUUGCCUUGCUUAAUCAUUUAUCCUGCAGCUCUUUCCUGCCCUGAGAUACAGUACAUGUAGAAGAAUAUACGACGAGUGUUGCAAGGUUCAUUUUAGGUGCAUGACUUUUUUUAUUUUUCACACGUGUGAAAAACACUCUUUGUAAUCUCUGGAAAAGUUUGUUUUUUAAAUAAAGCAUGGUCUGUUAAAAAUG